This 395-nucleotide ribosomal RNA is filed under the name uncultured bacterium. RNAcentral's name for it is "bacterial SSU rRNA". It matches the Rfam family "Bacterial small subunit ribosomal RNA", at positions 521 to 916 of the family's 1533-position model. The record is from RNAcentral.
UAAGACAGAGGUGGCGAGCGUUGUUCGGAAUUACUGGGCUUAAAGGGCGAGUAGGCGGUAGGGCAAGUCUGAGGUGGAAUCCUAUGGCUUAACCAUAGAACUGCCUUAGAAACUGCUUUACUUGAGUCAGUGAGGGGAGGGCGGAAUUCCUGGUGUAGCGGUGAAAUGCGUAGAUAUCAGGAGGAAGGCCUGUGGCGAAAGCGGCCCUCUGGCACUGUACUGACGCUGAGGCGCGAAAGCGUGGGGAGCAAACAGGAUUAGAUACCCUGGUAGUCCACGCCCUAAACGGUGGGCAUUAGGUGUAGGGCUCGUAAGGGUUCUGUGCCGAAGGGAAACCAUUAAAUGCCCCGCCUGGGGAGUACGGCCGCAAGGUUGAAACUUAAAUGAAUUGACGG